CUGUUGUCUGAGUGGCCAAAAAAAAAGAAAGAAAAUUGUCACAAGCUGUGAAGAAAGUAUUGGUUAGUCCAGAGGACCCCUCAUCAGUAAACUGGUAUUGGCUGGGAUGUUUCAUGUAAAAAACCAUCUGUUCAUCAUUUGCGACCAUUACAGACAUGUAUGUGUCAGGGGUCGUGUGCGGAGGCGAGGAAGAGAUGACCCACACGCAGGACUCUUGGUGCAGAAUGAGGAGGUUUUUUGGAAACGGAGACAACAGAUGACAGGAUGGCUGGCUGAACUUAAUGGACUGGUAAACUAACUGGCUGACUGAACUGAACACGUGACAAGAACAACAUCAACAUCAAUGACACGACAAGGGCUGAAGGGAACAGAGGGCUUAAAUACAUGACUAACAAUGACAAUGAUUGGAGACAGUGUUCUGCUGAGUCCUGGGAUUCCUCCUGAUGGAUCAAUUCAUUACACCUGCACUCCCCAACAGCAGCAGCUUCUCCUGGCAGGAUCAGCACCACAGCAAUUACAAGUACUGCACAGGAACAGCUCAAGACCAGGCCUUCAGUCUGACCACCAGAAUAAACCUGAUCCUUUGGGAGGCCCCCAGACCAGGACGAGCAGCUCCCAAAGGAUCCACUGCCAACGUUCUCAGACCAAAAGAUGGUUUGAAUGUUGGGGACGACUGCUGUAAAGUUGAAGCAUGAAUGAAGAGGACCAAACACGAAAAACCAGUUUGAAAUAAAAACAAUUAAAGCAUUUCGGUCACAGUCCUCCUUCAUACACGCAGACUAGAUAAAAUAAUCAGCUGCAAACCUAAAAAUAGACGUCAGUUAAAUCAACAACCACAUACCUGAUUAACAUACAGUUAUACUAUGCUGCUGUAGCGCUGAAGCUGUACAGUAGGCCGUUAGGGAGAUGUGAUAUGAUCUCCCAGUCUGUCAGCGAGGAAACCACCAGUUAAUAUUUAAUCAGCAAUUUAGUUUGCCUUUCAAAUAUUCAUGAAAUCUAAUCAACUUAAUCACGGUGUGAUCGUUAUUUCACAGCGUAAUGAAACUCCCCGCCAGUUCACUCAACUGUGUCCAGGGUGGCUGACUUCACGCCGUCGCUCUCUAAAACAAUAAAACUGACACACACACACACACACACACACACACACACACACACACACACCUAAAGAUGCAGGCACACAUGCAUCACAUAAAAAACAAUGUAGCUGACUAGGAAAGGAGAAGAGAAACCAAUAAAUAAACAGAUUAGUGUGAAAGGAAGCAAAAAAGGAAAGAAGAAAGGAUAGAAGUAAGAAAGGAGAAAUGCUAUAAGAAGGAAGGAUAUAAAAACAAUGAAAGAAGGAAGAAAAGUCAAGAUGAAGGGAUGGUAGUGUAUAGGGAAGGAUACGGGAAGGCGGUAUGAAAGGAAAGGAAGGUAGAAAAAAGACUGUAGAGAAGAAAGGAAAGAGAAAUACACGAAAAAAGGAAGGAAAGAAGGGACUGAGGAAGGAUGGAAGGUCGCAUGAAAGGAAAAAAACAUAUAGAAGAAACAAAGAAAGGAUACCAAGAAGGAAUUGAUGGCAUAUUGAGGAAAUAUUAAGAGAAGGAAGAAAAAAAUAAUGAAAACAAAGAAAGAAGGGAAUAAGGAAGGAAAAAGUAAAGAAAGGAGGGAUGGGAAAGAAGGAAGAAGAAAAAAGGAAGGAUGAAGGAAGGACAAAGGUGGAAGGAUAGAUAAGAAACAAAGGAACAAAUACAGGACGGAAGGAAGGAAAGAAGGAAGCUGCGUUGUGUUUUUCAGCUUUGCUGUUAUUCUGCCCCCUGGUGGCUAAAAAGCCACAUAAAGCAUCUUUAAAGAUUAUUGGACAGUUUUUGCACAACAAAAGGAAAUGAGAUGAUCAAUAUGAAAGAUAUACUCAACUUCAUACUAAACAGACUCAUAAAUUAUUGACACCAUCAGCCAUAACUCUGACUUUAGGAGCUGUUUGCCAUUUUUAGAAAUACAUUUAUUCCCUUUCUUGCCAGGAGUUAGUCAAUAAGACUCUUGGGGGGCCGAGCUAGCUGUCCUCCCGCAGAGCUUCCAGUCUUUAUGCAAAACUAAAUGUGCAGCUGGGAGUUUUGCAUACUGAUGUGAGUGGGGUAUAUCAGUCUGCUAUUUUAUUAUCCGAGUAUUUUCUUUUUUAUGUUACAGCUUCUUCAGAUGUUUGGUUUGGGCUUUAAGUGGUUUCCAGAAGUUCUCCCCUAAAGGCGAGAUGGCAGAGGCAUCAGAUGGAUUGGAGUACCCUUGGAGCAUUAAUUUUUAGAAAACUUCUCAAGAGUUUAUUUUAUUCAUCUCAAACUGAUUAACUUUCCUGCAGUUUUGAGAUGAAGCUGUACUUUAUGAAACAGAUCGAGGCACCCUGAGAGCACGUACCAGUAGAUUUGGUCCCAUGUUGGUGAGGGAGAGCAGGAAACAACAUUAUGAAGUGUAUACACACAUGCGCCUCAGAGAAGAUCCUGCAGCUUUCUGCUGUGUGCAACAAAAUAUUAUAAUAUGGCAAGAAAUGAUAACAUGUACAGCUUCUCCUCCUGCCGUUUCCCGACAUCCAAUCUGAUAAGAUGAGAUAAAGUGGAUGUGAGACUUUAGCAUCACGCAGACACAACAGAGAGGCUAUUACUGAGUCUGAUGAAAAACAGAUAGAUUGUACUGUAUUUCAGCCUGUGGCUAAGAUCCCACAGGCCGGGCAGAAUGAGGUGCUCUCCAAAAUGAGCUCGACAUCCCCGCAAAUAGGACACAGCAGCUUCCCCGUGUUCUCCUCGGGCCAAGCAUUACACUGUACAUUAGAUCCAUCUCAGCGUUCCUCUGUGGAGAGCUGCGGCAGCAU
Long non-coding RNA from Oreochromis niloticus (Nile tilapia), 2839 nucleotides. Lineage: Eukaryota; Metazoa; Chordata; Actinopteri; Cichliformes; Cichlidae. The record is from Ensembl.